UACGGGGGGUGCAAGCGUUGUCCGGAUUUACUGGGCGUAAAGGGCGCGUAGGCGGCUUGAUCAGUCGGACUUUUAAGAGCGGGGCUCAACCCCGUGGUGGGUUCGGGACGGUCGAGCUGGGGCGCGGUCGAGGGGGAUGGAAUGCCGGGUGUAGUGGUGAAAUGCGUAGAUAUCUGGAAGAACACCGGUGGCGCAAGCGGAUUGCUGGGCCAUAACUGACACUGAGGAACGAAAGCUAGGGGAGCAAAUGGG
This 252-nucleotide ribosomal RNA is filed under the name uncultured bacterium. RNAcentral describes it as "partial 16S ribosomal RNA". It matches the Rfam family "Bacterial small subunit ribosomal RNA", at positions 524 to 776 of the family's 1533-position model. The record is from RNAcentral.